CUGCUGCCUCCCGUAGGAGUCUGGGCCGUGUCUCAGUCCCAGUGUGGCCGUCCACCCUCUCAGGCCGGCUGCUGAUCGUCGCUUUGGUGGGGCCGUUACCCCCGCCAACUGGCUAAUCAGACGCGGGCCCAUCCUGUACCACCGGAGUUUUCAAAGGAUUACCAUGCGGUAUUCCCUAUUAUGCGGUAUUAGCACCUAUUUCUAAGUGUUAUCCCCCGGUACAGGGCAGGUUGCCCACGCGUUACUCACCCGUCCGCCACUAAGACAG
Molecule: ribosomal RNA, 268 nt
Filed under: uncultured bacterium
Lineage: Bacteria
Description: partial 16S ribosomal RNA
Source: RNAcentral